Panicum virgatum (switchgrass) is the source of this 275-nucleotide long non-coding RNA. RefSeq lists it as uncharacterized. Lineage: Eukaryota; Viridiplantae; Streptophyta; Magnoliopsida; Poales; Poaceae. The record is from RefSeq and is a predicted model, not a curated record. The transcript has 2 exons.
CUAUCGUGCUUGUCGUGUAUGCUCAUCAAAAAUGAUAUCAACACCUGAUGGGUUCCAGUGUACAAAGGAUGGAGACUUCCCUUCAAAAAUAACAUUGGUGCUAUCGUGCUUGUCGUGUAUGCUCAUCAAAGAUGAUAUCAACACCUGAUGGGUUCCAGUGUACAAAGGAUGGAGGCUGCCCUUCAAAACAAUUUGAAUGGAAAUAUAAUUCCAAGCGACAUUUCACAAUGGAUUGGCCACAAGUUCACAUUUGUCGUAAGGAUUCUAUAUAAAAA